CAGAAUACGGCUGAAGCCUGGAAGACUUCAGGGUACCCAGGGUACACCAGACGACCUGGGUGACUCCUUCAGGUCAGCUGGAGACCCUGAUACUGGAGUUGAUGGAGCUCAGAUUGAAAAAGAUGCUCAGGUAUGUCCAACUUAAAGAACUCGGGUGUGUGGAAGCUGAAAGGGGCCCAGACUCUGAAGA
This is a long non-coding RNA of Condylura cristata (star-nosed mole), 190 nucleotides long. RefSeq lists it as uncharacterized. The record is from RefSeq and is a predicted model, not a curated record. The transcript is spliced from 3 exons. NCBI's taxonomy places the organism in Eukaryota, Metazoa, Chordata, Mammalia, Eulipotyphla, Talpidae.